AAGGACUACACUACCCAGCAUGCAACAGGAGUGACGAGCAUGCGCGGUAGACCGGUAAAAACGGGGUGGUGUGUCGCCAUUUUGUGAUAUGCUCGCUCUGAAAGUAAACUUUUAAGAAGUCAGCCAACAAAUAAACGCAACCCCAAUUCAAAACGCCGGACAUUUGACGCAUUUAAAAAGGACACGCCGGACAACGCCGCAAAAGAGGACAUGUCCGGGGAAAAGAGGACGUAUGGCCAGCCUAUCCCUCGCCCGUUUACAAGUUAAAGUCAGCAUGCUGGUGGGGCUGACAUCCGCGCUCCAUACGUCUGUCGUGAAGCUGAAGUGAACAUCAUCAACUUUAACCAAGAGCUCGUGGACGCGAGCUGCAACACUGUCAUACAUCUCCGGUGUCUGCUGCACCUGCACGUCCUGGGCGUGGCGCCACUGAGGUGGUACAGUCCAGCGACUCCUGGUGCCGGCCUCCAUCUGCAGCAGCGUCCAUGCCGUGCUGACCACGUGGGCCCAGGUCAGCAGCUCGCCCGGCGUCCUCUUCCCCCUCGCCCGACGACUGCUGCCGGUAAUCACCGUGGGCCUGAGCUUUGCGCCACGCCUCCGUGCCGCUCUCCAUCCUGACCGGGUGCUCCACUGCCAUACCGGUGUGAGAAGAACACUUUGGUUUGCGUGAAAGAUGAAUGGAAACCAGUUGCAGGUUUUUCAAGUGUUUUUUAGCCUGUCUCCCACCUGUCCAGCUAGUGCACAGGUGUCCAACUCAAGGCCUGGGGGCCAGUCGUGGUCCGCCGCUUCAUUGUAUUUGGCCCUGGAAAAGUAUGUAUCAAAGUACUGUAGCUUUUCUUACUAAAUUGAUUUUUUCUUUCUGUUUUGGGAGAAAAAAUAUCUAUAUUUGUACUCCAUGUAAUCGCAAGUGUUGUUCACUUAAAUACCAUCUACUUAUGCCAAAAUAUACGAACAAACAUUCAAAGCAUUUUAACAUAGAAAUAAAUACUAAUGAUACUGAUUUCAAAGCAAGUAAUCCCUCAAAGUAAGAGUAGUAAUAGAUUUCAUGGCCAAAUUGUGAAAUUUACUGUGCUUUUUACAGCAUUUUUCUCUAAAUAAAAAAACAACCUUCUGUUUAAUAAA
This is a long non-coding RNA of Nerophis ophidion (straightnose pipefish), 1119 nucleotides long. RefSeq lists it as uncharacterized. Lineage: Eukaryota; Metazoa; Chordata; Actinopteri; Syngnathiformes; Syngnathidae. The record is from RefSeq and is a predicted model, not a curated record. The transcript is spliced from 3 exons.